This is a long non-coding RNA of Asparagus officinalis (garden asparagus), 125 nucleotides long. RefSeq lists it as uncharacterized. The transcript is spliced from 3 exons. NCBI's taxonomy places the organism in Eukaryota, Viridiplantae, Streptophyta, Magnoliopsida, Asparagales, Asparagaceae. The record is from RefSeq and is a predicted model, not a curated record.
AAGCAGCAGAUAAAGUUAAUGAAGAAUAAAUCUCAAACUCCCAUCUCUCAACAAAAACCCCUUGAUUUAUUGAAGAAAUGAAGUCCAUGAAGCCAAACAAUUUAUUUCAAAUAUUUAAUGAAGUA